Long non-coding RNA from Culex pipiens pallens (northern house mosquito), 920 nucleotides. RefSeq lists it as uncharacterized. The record is from RefSeq and is a predicted model, not a curated record. The transcript is spliced from 3 exons. NCBI's taxonomy places the organism in Eukaryota, Metazoa, Arthropoda, Insecta, Diptera, Culicidae.
GAAAAUACGCCACCCUUUUUUUCCAAGUGCCCAAACACUUGAAUGAUUCAAUUAAUCCGCAUCUUAGAUCUAAUUUGUUUGUGUUUAAAUUUCAAUCCAAUCCAUUAUUAAAUUCAAGUGUUUUAGCGAUUGACUUUUUGUUUCGUGACAGCUUCGUCGGAAUUUGCUUCGUUUCCUCAUUUGAAAGUUUUGGAGGUCCGGUGUGUUCGUUUUUCGCAGACCGCUUGAGUUCGCUGCCGUCAUGUUCCAGUCCAGAAAAUUGCCUGCCCGGUUUGUGACCGCGAAGAUGAGCAUCACCAUAAGGCUGUGUCCUCGGGCUCGGGCUCCGUAUGGCCAGCGGAAGGGCUUGGUCUCCCGGGCAGUAGCCAACUUUGAUGAUAAGGUUCCUUUCCGGACCCAUUUGGAAGGAUGCGAGAGAGCUGCAGAUGCCGUACCAGGUAGGCGGUGCCAGUGAUAAACAAGAUUUGGAUGCAUUCAACUCAGGGGCCAUGAUAUGCGUCAUUCGACUGGUCAAGGCACAGUUUGAUUCGAACCACCGCGGUUCUGCAUCAACAAGAAGAUUCCCCAUGGGGCCUCCAUCUCCGCCGGCACCGGUGCUUCACUCGCCGACGCUGAGAAACCUCCCAGGAAGUAGUGGUGGCGAACAAACCGAUCCCGACCAGGAAGAAAAAAAUAACAAAAUUUGUACACGCCAUGUUGAUAGAAAAUAAAAAAAAAACAUUUCAUUUCGCAACAUCUUCCUUACAUAAAAACAAAUCGAAAUCCAUUUCUAUUACAUGCAAACAUGCAUUGAUUAAAGAUAGAAAAGCCAUUUAAAACCAAUAAAUAUAAUAUAGUAUUUCAUGUGACACAAUACGUCAAAUUCAAGUGUUUUGCUAUUGAAUUGACAGCUAAUUUUGUUGCCCAAAAUUCAAGUGUUU